UCGUUUCACUAUCUUUAAUAGUUUUCAGCUUUUUUUUUUUUGCCUUUUCGCUUUUUAUGUCAUUCAUUCUUUUACUCAAAUCCCAUUUGGCUAUUGGACAGAAGAAGCUAGACCCUUAAUUACUUAUUAUCGAAGUUUUCUUGACUUGUAUCUGUCUUUUGAUUCAUUUGCUAAAAUCUCAUUUGGAUUUUGAGCAAAAGAAAAGCUGUUUACUACUAGUUCUUAAGUUGGUGAAGUGAAGUGAAGUGAAAUUUUGUGAUUUUGGUUGUAAUGGCAGCUCCAAAACCUGAAGAGAUAAGCCAUCCUCCUAUGGAUCAACUUCAGGGGUUAGAGUAUUGUAUUGAUUCUAAUCCUUCUUGGGGGGAAGCAAUAGCACUGGGAUUUCAACACUAUAUAUUGGCAUUAGGAACAGCAGUGAUGAUUCCAACAUUUCUUGUUCCUUUAAUGGGUGGGACUGAUGGUGAUAAGAUUAGGGUAGUUCAGACUCUACUCUUUGCACAAGGAAUUAACACAUUACUCCAAACAUUAUUUGGGACACGACUGCCGACUGUUAUUGGAGGAUCUUGGGCGUUUAUGGUACCGAUAAUUUCCAUAAUUCAUGAUCCAUCCUUGGCUGCAAUAACUGAUCCUCAUUCAAGAUUUCUCAAUACAAUGAGAGCAAUACAGGGUGCACUGAUUGUAGCUUCAAGUGUGCAGAUUGUUUUGGGAUAUAGUCAACUUUGGGCUAUAUGUUCUAGGUUUUUCAGCCCACUUGGGAUGGUUCCAGUAAUAUCAUUGGUGGGCUUUGGCCUUUUUGAUAGAGGCUUCCCAGUGGUUGGCAGGUGUGUGGAGAUUGGAAUUCCCAUGCUCAUCUUAUUUGUUGCCUUCUCUCAGUACUUGAAACAUUUUCAGACGAGACAACUGCCAGUAUUGGAGCGUUUUGCUCUUAUAAUCUCAGUCACAGUUAUUUGGGCUUAUGCACAUCUCCUCACAGCCAGUGGGGCCUACAAACAUCGUCCAGAAAUAACCCAAAGAAACUGCCGCACAGAUAAAGCAAACCUGAUUUCCACUGCGCCUUGGAUUAAAAUCCCAUAUCCACUUCAAUGGGGCGCACCAACAUUUGAUGCUGGUCAUGCCUUUGGAAUGAUGGCUGCUGUACUCGUUUCUAUGAUUGAGUCAACUGGAGCUUACAAAGCGGCAUCUCGCCUAGCAAGUGCUACACCGCCUCCUGCUCAUGUUCUUAGCCGUGGUAUUGGCUGGCAGGGAAUUGGGAUCUUGUUGGAUGGACUCUUUGGGACAGCUACCGGGUCUACAGUCUCUGUAGAAAAUGUUGGUCUUCUUGGAAGCACUCGUGUUGGCAGCCGUAGAGUUAUCCAAAUAUCAGCUGGUUUUAUGAUAUUUUUCUCAAUUCUAGGAAAAUUUGGAGCACUAUUUGCAUCAAUACCUUUCACCAUAUUUGCAGCUGUAUACUGUGUUAUGUUUGGGCUUGUUGCUUCCGUGGGGUUGUCCUUCUUGCAAUUUACAAACAUGAAUUCAAUGAGAAGCCUCUUUAUCACCGGUGUUUCCCUUUUCCUUGGUUUGUCUAUUCCUGAGUACUUCAGGGAGUAUACCACGGCUGCUCUUCAUGGUCCUGCUCAUACAAAGGCUGGUUGGUUCAAUGAUUUUCUUAAUACCAUCUUCUUAUCCUCUCCCACCGUUGCCUUGAUUGUUUCCGUAUUCCUGGACAAUACACUUGAUUACAAAGACAGUGCUAAGGAUAGGGGAAUGCCAUGGUGGGUAAAGUUCAGGACGUUUAAAGGGGACAGCAGGAAUGAAGAGUUUUACACCCUUCCUUUCAACCUCAAUCGCUUUUUCCCUCCAUCAUGAUUGCAUUGCAAGAGGAAUGGGAAGGCACUUGGAAGGGCUUCUCAUCUGCUGAUAAAGAUUUAUGCUUACACAGAGAACCCUCAUGAGAAAGGGCAGCCAGGGCCAUACAGUUUGAGUCAGUAGAGAAUGACAGAUUUGCCUCCACUGUCACUAUUUUUUCAUUAAUUUGAUAUAUACAAUUUGGGUUAUUUAAGAUUAAUCCAACGAAACGAAUUGGGUUCAUUUGUUAGAUGAAGCAUAUAUGGCCUUACCUGAUUGAUACAUAUACCAUUACUAAAACUCACAUGAGAUUCUGAA
RNA transcript from Coffea eugenioides, 2142 nucleotides. It is a transcript of the gene named nucleobase-ascorbate transporter 2, with no coding region annotated. The record is from RefSeq and is a predicted model, not a curated record. Lineage: Eukaryota; Viridiplantae; Streptophyta; Magnoliopsida; Gentianales; Rubiaceae. The transcript has 15 exons.